CUUGAGAUCCCGCUGCUUCACUGUGCUGAGUCCUGAGACUCCUCUGGUAUCCUGCAUGGUUUGCUCACCUUAGAAGUGCGGACGUUUGGCUCACACUCUUGGACCACAGUGAUCAUUCGUGAUAAUGAUACACAGGAAAUAGAGAUGGAAACUGAAGGCCCGUCGGAUGCUGUCUAGAGGAACAACUCAAGUCUCAAGAGAGAUGAUGGUGUAGAACGGGGCAUGGAGGUAUGAAGAGAUUUAAUUCUUUCUUUGGAAAGACAGAAAAGCACAAGGAAGAAAAUGGAAACAUAUGUAACACCACCUUCUGGAGAUAACCAGACUUGAGUCAUUGGUCUAUGGAAACUUAUAGUUCCCAGUUCCCCUUAGGAUUAGACGAGGCCACGGAGCUAGUUCUGGACGAAAAUGUGAGUGGAAGUAAAAACACACACCUUUGAGAUUUUCCCAUCUUUGUUUUCUUGCCAUGAAGACCAUGGAGACCUUGUUUUGGGAUGGUGAAGACACAAGAGGAAGCAUCCUCGAUCCCUGAGUCACAACACAGAGGGGCUAUCUGGAGAGGUUACCCGACCUACAGAUAAUCCUGGGUGAAAGAGAAAUAAACUAA
Capra hircus (goat) is the source of this 604-nucleotide long non-coding RNA. RefSeq lists it as uncharacterized. The record is from RefSeq and is a predicted model, not a curated record. The transcript has 4 exons. Lineage: Eukaryota; Metazoa; Chordata; Mammalia; Artiodactyla; Bovidae.